This 207-nucleotide non-coding RNA is filed under the name Linnemannia elongata AG-77. RNAcentral's name for it is "Mortierella elongata AG-77 Eukaryotic large subunit ribosomal RNA". It matches the Rfam family "Eukaryotic large subunit ribosomal RNA", at positions 2131 to 2334 of the family's 3401-position model. The record is from Rfam by way of RNAcentral. Lineage: Eukaryota; Fungi; Mortierellomycota; Mortierellomycetes; Mortierellales; Mortierellaceae.
AAUUUGAUUAUUUAAUUAAAACACAGAAUUGCGGAGGUGUUAGAAAGUGGUGUCGACGCAAUGUGAUUUCUGCCCAGUGCUCUCCACAUCAACGUGAAGAAAAUCAACCAAGAGUGGGGUAAACGGUGGGAGUUACUUUGACUCUCUAAAGGCACCCAAAUGCCUCGUCAUCUAAUUACUGACGCGCAUGAAUGGAUUAACAAGAUU